AACGAACGCUGGCGGCAUGCCUAACACAUGCAAGUCGAACGAUGCCUUCGGGCAUAGUGGCGCACGGGUGCGUAACGCGUGGGAAUCUGCCUUUCGGUUCGGAAUAACUCAGGGAAACUUGAGCUAAUACCGGAUAACGUCGCAAGACCAAAGAUUUAUCACCGAAAGAUGAGCCCGCGUAGGAUUAGCUAGUUGGUGAGGUAAAGGCUCACCAAGGCGACGAUCCUUAGCUGGUCUGAGAGGAUGAUCAGCCACACUGGGACUGAGACACGGCCCAGACUCCUACGGGAGGCAGCAGUGGGGAAUAUUGGACAAUGGGCGAAAGCCUGAUCCAGCACUGCCGCGUGAGUGAUGAAGGCCUUAGGGUUGUAAAGCUCUUUUACCCGGGAAGAUAAUGACGGUACCGGGAGAAUAAGCCCCGGCUAACUCCGUG
RNAcentral lists this ribosomal RNA (433 nucleotides) under uncultured bacterium. RNAcentral describes it as "partial 16S ribosomal RNA". It matches the Rfam family "Bacterial small subunit ribosomal RNA", at positions 29 to 507 of the family's 1533-position model. The record is from RNAcentral.